This 253-nucleotide ribosomal RNA is filed under the name uncultured bacterium. RNAcentral's name for it is "partial 16S ribosomal RNA". It matches the Rfam family "Bacterial small subunit ribosomal RNA", at positions 524 to 776 of the family's 1533-position model. The record is from RNAcentral.
UACAGAGGGCGCGAGCGUUGUCCGGAAUCACUGGGCGUAAAGGGCGCGUAGGUGGCGCGGGCAGUCAACGGUGAAAGUUCGGGGCUCAACCCUGAAUCGGCCGUCGAUACUCCCGUGCUUGAGCACUGUAGAGGCAGAUGGAAUUCCGGGUGUAGCGGUGGAAUGCGUAGAGAUCCGGAAGAACACCAAUAGCGAAGGCAGCUCGCUGGGACGUUACUGACACUGAGGCGCGAAAGCGUGGGGAGCGAACAGG